This 1044-nucleotide long non-coding RNA is filed under the name Pan troglodytes (chimpanzee). Its description in RNAcentral is "lncRNA (ENSPTRG00000053808.1)". The record is from RNAcentral. Lineage: Eukaryota; Metazoa; Chordata; Mammalia; Primates; Hominidae.
UCCCCUAUCACCACGCCUGGUCCGCAGUGAUGCUCAAAAAAGAUCUGUUGGUAGGCAAUGCGAAGGUGCAUUCAUGUCAUCCUGCAGGAGGAAUUCUCCACGAGUUUUGAGCAGCCUCGGUUUUCCCACCACCUCCAAAUCAUGCAAGACACAGGGUAAGAGCAAAGACAAGGUGGCUGUGGCCCAUGUCCACCAUCUCGGGGCGUCCCUUCUCUUCUCUCCUCCUUGGGCAGGGAGACCAUCGGGGUGCAACCUGGCUGGGGCAGGGAGGAAGUGCAGGGCCUGGCCAGAGCGGGCCUGGCCACGGGCAAGGGACAGCGACCUCCUGGGCCAGGAUAGGUGAGAGCGGCGCAGGCCCGGGACCGGCGUAGGCCCGGGACCGGCGUGGCGGCGCUGCUGGUGAGCAGCCAUCAGAGGGCGCCAGAGAGCCAGGAGCGGCCUGCGGAGGAGCCCGCGCUGGCCCCGAUGCCCAGGUCCGCCCCGCGCGGACCCACCGAGCCCGCGCUCAGACGCCCCAGCUCCACCGAGAGGCCGCUUGCGCCGGGUCCUUCUUCUUCCCCAAGUGUAGGCAGAUCCACCGGAGUCAUGGCCAGGACUUCCGGCAGCUCCGAAGUCACUGGCAAGCCCCGAGGCAGGGAUGGCCUGCCAGGAGGGAGGAGGACGACGUCCCUCCCGAAGAGAAGAGGCUGCGGCUGUUGCUGGAGGGGGAAGCGCACAGCCCCAGGACUGCGAGGACGGGGAGGACGCGCCGCGGCCGGGAAGGGGGGAGACCGUCACUCAGACAGGUGGCGACGGCAGAGGGGUGCAGGCAGAGCCCCCGGAGCCAUGGCCAGCCCUUCCGGCAGAUCUGAAGCCACUGGCAAGCCCCGAGGCAGGGAUGGCCGGCCCAGGAGGGAGGAGGACGACGUCCCUCCCGAAGAGAAGAGGCUGCGGCUGUUGCUGGAGGGGGAAGCGCACAGCCCGAGGACUGCGAGAACGGGGAGGACGCGCCGCGGCCGGGCAGGGAGGACACCGGGACCCAGACAGGUGGCGACGGCAGAGUAA